RNAcentral lists this transfer RNA (78 nucleotides) under Hydropsyche simulans. Its description in RNAcentral is "tRNA-Glu". The record is from RNAcentral. Lineage: Eukaryota; Metazoa; Arthropoda; Insecta; Trichoptera; Hydropsychidae.
AUUUAUAAUAGUUUAUAAAAAACAUUUCAUUUUCACUGAAAAAAAAUUAAAUUACUUAAUUUAUAAACACAUUUAUUU